GUUGCAGUUAAAGCUCGUAGUUGAACCUUGGGCCUGGCUGGCCGGUCCGCCUCACCGCGUGCACUGGUUCGGCCGGGCCUUUCCCUCUGGGGAACCUCAUGCCCUUCACUGGGUGUGCUGGGGAACCAGGACUUUUACUGUGAAAAAAUUAGAGUGUUCAAAGCAGGCCUAUGCUCGAAUACAUUAGCAUGGAAUAAUAGAAUAGGACGUGUGGUUCUAUUUUGUUGGUUUCUAGGACCGCCGUAAUGAUUAAUAGGGACAGUCGGGGGCAUCAGUAUUCAAUUGUCAGAGGUGAAAUUCUUGGAUUUAUUGAAGACUAACUACUGCGAAAGCAUUUGCCAAGGAUGUUUUCAUUAAUCAGGAACGAAAGUUAGGGGAUCGAAGACGAUCAGAUACCGUCGUAGUCUUAACCAUAAACUAUGCCGACUAGGGAUCGGACGAUGUUAUUUUUUGACUCGUUCGGCACCUUACGAGAAAUCAAAGUGUUUGGGUUCUGGGGGGAGUAUGGUCGCAAGGCUGAAACUUAAAGAAAUUGACGGAAGGGCACCACCAGGAGUGGAGCCUGCGGCUUAAUUUGACUCAACACGGGGAAACUCACCAGGUCCAGACACAAUGAGGAUUGACAGAUUGAGAGCUCUUUCUUGAUUUUGUGGGUGGUGGUGCAUGGCCGUUCUUAGUUGGUGGAGUGAUUUGUCUGCUUAAUUGCGAUAACGAACGAGACCUUAACCUGCUAAAUAGCCCGUAUUGCUUUGGCAGUACGCUGGCUUCUUAGAGGGACUAUCCGCUCAAGCGGAUGGAAGUUUGAGCAUAACAGGUCUGUGAUGCCCUUAGAUGUCUGGGCCGCACGCGCGUUACACUGA
RNAcentral lists this ribosomal RNA (860 nucleotides) under uncultured fungus. RNAcentral describes it as "SSU rRNA". It matches the Rfam family "Eukaryotic small subunit ribosomal RNA", at positions 612 to 1506 of the family's 1831-position model. The record is from RNAcentral. Lineage: Eukaryota; Fungi.